GGGUUGUGAGGUUAAGCGACUAAGCGUACACGGUGGAUGCCCUGGCAGUCAGAGGCGAUGAAGGACGUGCUAAUCUGCGAAAAGCGUCGGUAAGGUGAUAUGAACCGUUAUAGCCGGCGAUGUCCGAAUGGGGAAACCCAGUGCAAUUCGUUGCACUAUCGUUAACUGAAUACAUAGGUUAACGAGGCGAACCGGGGGAACUGAAACAUCUAAGUACCCCGAGGAAAAGAAAUCAACCGAGAUUCCCCCAGUAGCGGCGAGCGAACGGGGAGCAGCCCAGAGUCUGAAUCAGCUUGUGUGUUAGUGGAACGGUCUGGAAAGUCCGACGGUACAGGGUGAUAGUCCCGUACACCAAAAUGCACAGGUUGUGAACUCGAAGAGUAGGGCGGGACACGUGGUAUCCUGUCUGAAUAUGGGGGGACCAUCCUCCAAGGCUAAAUACUCCUGACUGACCGAUAGUGAACCAGUACCGUGAGGGAAAGGCGAAAAGAACCCCGGCGAGGGGAGUGAAAAAGAACCUGAAACCGUGUACGUACAAGCAGUGGGAGCACCUUCGGGUGUGACUGCGUACCUUUUGUAUAAUGGGUCAGCGACUUAUAUUCUGUAGCAAGGUUAACCGUAUAGGGGAGCCGCAGGGAAACCGAGUCUUAACUGGGCGUUAAGUUGCAGGGUAUAGACCCGAAACCCGGUGAUCUAGCCAUGGGCAGGUUGAAGGUUGGGUAACACUAACUGGAGGACCGAACCGACUAAUGUUGAAAAAUUAGCGGAUGACUUGUGGCUGGGGGUGAAAGGCCAAUCAAACCGGGAGAUAGCUGGUUCUCCCCGAAAGCUAUUUAGGUAGCGCCUCGUGAAUUCAUCUUCGGGGGUAGAGCACUGUUUCGGCUAGGGGGUCAUCCCGACUUACCAACCCGAUGCAAACUACGAAUACCGAAGAAUGUUAUCACGGGAGACACACGGCGGGUGCUAACGUCCGUCGUGAAGAGGGAAACAACCCAGACCGCCAGCUAAGGUCCCAAAGUCAUGGUUAAGUGGGAAACGAUGUGGGAAGGCACAGACAGCCAGGAUGUUGGCUUAGAAGCAGCCAUCAUUUAAAGAAAGCGUAAUAGCUCACUGGUCGAGUCGGCCUGCGCGGAAGAUGUAACGGGGCUAAACCAUGCACCGAAGCUGCGGCAGCGACACUAUGUGUUGUUGGGUAGGGGAGCGUUCUGUAAGCCUGCGAAGGUGACCUGUGAGGGUUGCUGGAGGUAUCAGAAGUGCGAAUGCUGACAUAAGUAACGAUAAAGCGGGUGAAAAGCCCGCUCGCCGGAAGACCAAGGGUUCCUGUCCAACGUUAAUCGGGGCAGGGUGAGUCGACCCCUAAGGCGAGGCCGAAAGGCGUAGUCGAUGGGAAACAGGUUAAUAUUCCUGUACUUGGUGUUACUGCGAAGGGGGGACGGAGAAGGCUAUGUUAGCCGGGCGACGGUUGUCCCGGUUUAAGCAUGUAGGCUGGUUAUCCAGGCAAAUCCGGAUAAUCAAGGCUGAGGUGUGAUGACGAGGCACUACGGUGCUGAAGUAACAAAUGCCCUGCUUCCAGGAAAAGCCUCUAAGCAUCAGGUAACAUCAAAUCGUACCCCAAACCGACACAGGUGGUCAGGUAGAGAAUACCAAGGCGCUUGAGAGAACUCGGGUGAAGGAACUAGGCAAAAUGGUGCCGUAACUUCGGGAGAAGGCACGCUGGUGUGUAGGUGAAGUCCCUGCGGAUGGAGCUGAGACCAGUCGAAGAUACCAGCUGGCUGCAACUGUUUAUUAAAAACACAGCACUGUGCAAACACGAAAGUGGACGUAUACGGUGUGACGCCUGCCCGGUGCCGGAAGGUUAAUUGAUGGGGUUAUCCGUAAGGAGAAGCUCUUGAUCGAAGCCCCGGUAAACGGCGGCCGUAACUAUAACGGUCCUAAGGUAGCGAAAUUCCUUGUCGGGUAAGUUCCGACCUGCACGAAUGGCGUAAUGAUGGCCAGGCUGUCUCCACCCGAGACUCAGUGAAAUUGAACUCGCUGUGAAGAUGCAGUGUACCCGCGGCAAGACGGAAAGACCCCGUGAACCUUUACUAUAGCUUGACACUGAACAUUGAGCCUUGAUGUGUAGGAUAGGUGGGAGGCUUUGAAGCGUGGACGCCAGUCUGCGUGGAGCCAACCUUGAAAUACCACCCUUUAAUGUUUGAUGUUCUAACGUUGGCCCCUUACCGGGGUUGCGGACAGUGUCUGGUGGGUAGUUUGACUGGGGCGGUCUCCUCCCAAAGCGUAACGGAGGAGCACGAAGGUUAGCUAAUCCUGGUCGGACAUCAGGAGGUUAGUGCAAUGGCAUAAGCUAGCUUGACUGCGAGCGUGACGGCGCGAGCAGGUGCGAAAGCAGGUCAUAGUGAUCCGGUGGUUCUGAAUGGAAGGGCCAUCGCUCAACGGAUAAAAGGUACUCCGGGGAUAACAGGCUGAUACCGCCCAAGAGUUCAUAUCGACGGCGGUGUUUGGCACCUCGAUGUCGGCUCAUCACAUCCUGGGGCUGAAGUAGGUCCCAAGGGUAUGGCUGUUCGCCAUUUAAAGUGGUACGCGAGCUGGGUUUAGAACGUCGUGAGACAGUUCGGUCCCUAUCUGCCGUGGGCGCUGGAGAAUUGAGGGGGGCUGCUCCUAGUACGAGAGGACCGGAGUGGACGCAUCACUGGUGUUCGGGUUGUCAUGCCAAUGGCACUGCCCGGUAGCUAAAUGCGGAAGAGAUAAGUGCUGAAAGCAUCUAAGCACGAAACUUGCCCCGAGAUGAGUUCUCCCUGAGACUUUAAGUCUCCUGAAGGAACGUUAAAGACGAUGACGUUGAUAGGCCGGGUGUGUAAGCGCAGCGAUGCGUUGAGCUAACCGGUACUAAUGAACCGUGAGGCUUAACCUUACAACGCCGAAG
RNAcentral lists this ribosomal RNA (2923 nucleotides) under Klebsiella pneumoniae. RNAcentral's name for it is "bacterial LSU rRNA". It matches the Rfam family "Bacterial large subunit ribosomal RNA". Lineage: Bacteria; Pseudomonadati; Pseudomonadota; Gammaproteobacteria; Enterobacterales; Enterobacteriaceae. The record is from RNAcentral.